ACUGCGAUUCCCACACACUUGGAUCCGGUUGCCUGGACUAGAUCCGAUGCUUCUGGGUAAGACUGAGUGCUCUGUAACUAAUGGGCCUGUGGUGAAAAUGAUGCAAGGGUUGGAAACAUCCUAAACCAUGUGAUAACCUGUUUUUUUCCCUUUAUAUCCUGCACAAGUUCUGAUACAAUACAUUCAGAAGGGAACUCACUGAAGAUUUGCUGAAUGAUGAAGAGAGAGAUAGAAGGAAGAAGGAAGGAAGGGUUUAUUUGGUCCAGAUUCUUCAGCAUUUUGUUUUCCCAGACUUCCUUCUUUUCCCCUCUUCUGGACCCACCUUUUUGCCAUUUCACCGUUGACGCGCAGCUUCAGCUUAGAGGGUAAAGACAGACGGGCAUGAUCGUGAGUGGCCAGCAUACUGGCCGGUUCUCUCUGUUAGCAGACUUUUGCAAAGGGUUUGGAUGGAAUGGGUGGCUCUUCAGGUGGAAAACAAGUCGUGGGGGUCAGGUUCUGGGUGCCUGAAACUGCCCUUCCUUCACUCCACUGUGCCAUGACUGGCUCCCACCCGAAGCUUCAGCUGAGCUGGCUUGUCAGGGCUUGCUAGGAACUGCUGAGCUGCAUCUGUUCUCACUUGGCAUGGCUCCUCAGCCCCUCCACAUCUCAAGAAUGUGGCCUUGGGCCCCCUCCUGCUCUGACCGUUUUGCUUGCCUGGGUUUUUUCACUGUCUGCCGUGCCCAGAUCCCAGCUGUUCAUUUGUACCUGACCUCUGACUACUGCUAGAACCCCUCCAUUCUUACAUCUCAUGUAGUUCCAGGUCCCCAGCCAGAUUCUGGAUGUUACCCAAGCCCCCUCCCCAUUCUCCAGCUUCAUUCUAGCCCACACUUUAUGUUUUGCCUUAAGCUUUUCCGAUACUAGCUCCCAUUGCCAUCUCUAGUAUUAAUUCUGAUAGUGGGACUGUUAGCUCCUCUUCUUUCAAUAAUAAAAGGCUAGCUGUCACUAGCUGUGACUCUGUAAUACCUAACGCCAGAGGAAGCUACUAUAUUCUAUCGUUAGUUUCCUUGUCUUUCUCAGUGACUAAAGCUAAGCCUCUUGAAGGCAGAGACAGCCAUAGGAACCUUCACUUCUCAAUGAAGUGUUGAUGAAUGUUACAGAAAAAGGAACUCUCAAGAAUGGCUACAUUUCACAUCUCAUCUCUCAAGUUUUACUCUGAAGUUACUAAAGCCUUCAGUGACCAGAAUCGAAUGAAGGUGAAUCACCAAGUUUAUAAAUGAAUGAAUUCCUAAUAAAUUAAAAAUAUAAGGGACAGCAUAUGGGUAAUAAUGGGAAGGAGUGUGCAGUUUGAAGUCACUCAGACCUGGGUCUGAAUUCUGGCUGUCACAGCUAAGCCUUCAGCAAACCAGUUAACAGCUCCGAGCUUCGAAGUUUUAUUAUACAAAGGGGGACAACCAGGUUCCUAAGAGGACGGUUCUCCACCUUCGUUUCCCACUUUGUAAAAUGGUGAUGAAGCUACCACCUUACCUCACGGACUGUCAAGAAAUUAAAAUAAGAUAAAGUGUGAGAAAAAAUAUUUUGUAAACCUUAAAGCACAAUAUAGGUAUUAAUGAUUACUAUU
RNAcentral lists this long non-coding RNA (1597 nucleotides) under Macaca fascicularis (crab-eating macaque). Its description in RNAcentral is "lncRNA (ENSMFAG00000063926.1)". Lineage: Eukaryota; Metazoa; Chordata; Mammalia; Primates; Cercopithecidae. The record is from RNAcentral.